GUAGGGAAUAUUGCACAAUGGACGAAAGUCUGAUGCAGCAACGCCGCGUGAGUGAAGAAGGCCCUUGGGUCGUAAAGCUCUUUAGCGAGGAAAGAAGCUGCUUGCGGUGAAUAAUCGCAAGUGGUGACGGUACCUCGAGAAUAAGCACCGGCUAAUUUCGUGCCAGCAGCCGCGGUAAUACGAAAGGUGCGAGCGUUACUCGGAAUCACUGGGCGUAAAGCGCGCGUAGGUCGGCUUGUAGGUCGGUUGUGAAAUACCUGGGCUCAACCCAGGAGGGGCAGCCGAAACCACAAGCCUUGAAUACUUGAGAGGGUGGGGGAAUACCUGGUGGAGAAGUGAAAUUCGUAGAGAUCAGGUGGAACACCGGAGGCGAAGGCGCCUGCCUGGCAAUGUAUUGACGCUGAAGUGCGAAAGUGCGGGGAGCAAACAGGAUUAGAUACCCGAGUAGUCC
This 451-nucleotide ribosomal RNA is filed under the name uncultured bacterium. RNAcentral's name for it is "bacterial SSU rRNA". It matches the Rfam family "Bacterial small subunit ribosomal RNA", at positions 354 to 796 of the family's 1533-position model. The record is from RNAcentral.